Molecule: ribosomal RNA, 444 nt
Filed under: uncultured bacterium
Lineage: Bacteria
Description: bacterial SSU rRNA
Rfam family: Bacterial small subunit ribosomal RNA
Source: RNAcentral
UAAGGAAUAUUGGUCAAUGGACGCAAGUCUGAACCAGCCAUGCCGCGUGGAGGAUGAAGGCCCUCUGGGUUGUAAACUUCUUUUAUUAGGGAAGAAACCUUGACUUUCUAGUUGAGUUGACGGUACCUGAUGAAUAAGCACCGGCUAACUCCGUGCCAGCAGCCGCGGUAAUACGGAGGGUGCAAGCGUUAUCCGGAUUCACUGGGUUUAAAGGGUGCGUAGGUGGGCAGGUAAGUCAGUGGUGAAAUCUCCGGGCUUAACCCGGAAACUGCCGUUGAUACUAUCUGUCUUGAAUGUAGUGGAGGUGAGCGGAAUAUGUCAUGUAGCGGUGAAAUGCUUAGAUAUGACAUAGAACAUCGAUUGCGAAGGCAGCUCGCUACACUAUGAUUGACACUGAGGCACGAAAGCGUGGGGAUCAAACAGGAUUAGAUACCCCCGUAGUCC